CACGUAGGGCGCAAGCGUUGUCCGGAAUUAUUGGGCGUAAAGAGCUCGUAGGCGGUUUGUCGCGUCUGCUGUGAAAACUCGGGGCUUAACUCCGGGCCUGCAGUGGGUACGGGCAGACUAGAGUGCGGUAGGGGAGACUGGAAUUCCUGGUGUAGCGGUGAAAUGCGCAGAUAUCAGGAGGAACACCGGUGGCGAAGGCGGGUCUCUGGGCCGUAACUGACGCUGAGGAGCGAAGGUCAGGGGAGCAAACGGG
Molecule: ribosomal RNA, 253 nt
Filed under: uncultured bacterium
Lineage: Bacteria
Description: partial 16S ribosomal RNA
Rfam family: Bacterial small subunit ribosomal RNA
Source: RNAcentral